This is a small nuclear RNA of Mesoplodon densirostris (Blainville's beaked whale), 103 nucleotides long. The record is from RefSeq and is a predicted model, not a curated record. NCBI's taxonomy places the organism in Eukaryota, Metazoa, Chordata, Mammalia, Artiodactyla, Ziphiidae.
CAUAUACUAAAAAAAAAAAAAAAAAAUUGGAACGACACAGAGGAGAUUAGCAUGGCCCCUGCACAAGGAUGACAUGCAAAUUCGUGAAGCAUUCCAUGUUAAA